This 451-nucleotide ribosomal RNA is filed under the name uncultured bacterium. Its description in RNAcentral is "partial 16S ribosomal RNA". It matches the Rfam family "Bacterial small subunit ribosomal RNA", at positions 29 to 523 of the family's 1533-position model. The record is from RNAcentral.
AACGAACGCUGGCGGCAUGCCUAACACAUGCAAGUCGAACGCGUGGAGCGAUCCACGAGUGGCGCACGGGUGAGUAACGCGUGGGAACCUGCCCUGGAGUGUGGGAUAACCCGGCGAAAGCCGGGCUAAUACCGCAUCCGACCUGAGGGGGAAAGAUUUAUCGCUCUAGGAGGGGCCCGCGUCGGAUUAGCUAGUUGGUGAGGUAAUGGCUCACCAAGGCGAUGAUCCGUAGCUGGUCUGAGAGGGUGAUCAGCCACACUGGGACUGAGACACGGCCCAGACUCCUACGGGAGGCAGCAGUGGGGAAUAUUGGACAAUGGGGGCAACCCUGAUCCAGCAAUGCCGCGUGGGCGAUGAAGGCCUUCGGGCUGUAAAGCCCUUUUGCACGCGACGAUGAUGACGGUAGCGUGAGAAGAAGCCCCGGCUAACUUCGUGCCAGCAGCCGCCGUAA